This 71-nucleotide transfer RNA is filed under the name Loxodonta africana (African savanna elephant). It matches the Rfam family "tRNA". Rfam says of the family: Transfer RNA (tRNA) molecules are approximately 80 nucleotides in length. Their secondary structure includes four short double-helical elements and three loops (D, anti-codon, and T loops). Lineage: Eukaryota; Metazoa; Chordata; Mammalia; Proboscidea; Elephantidae. The record is from Rfam by way of RNAcentral.
GCAGUGGUAGUUCAAUGAGAGAAUUCUCACCUCCCAUGUGGAAGACCUGGGUUCGAUUCCUGGCCAACACA